Molecule: transfer RNA, 67 nt
Filed under: Nigidius sinicus
Lineage: Eukaryota; Metazoa; Arthropoda; Insecta; Coleoptera; Lucanidae
Description: tRNA-Trp
Rfam family: tRNA
About the family: Transfer RNA (tRNA) molecules are approximately 80 nucleotides in length. Their secondary structure includes four short double-helical elements and three loops (D, anti-codon, and T loops).
Source: RNAcentral
AAGGAUUUAGGUUAACUCUAAACCAAUAGCCUUCAAAGCUAUAAAUAAAGAAAAUCUUUAAGCCUUA